RNAcentral lists this small RNA (167 nucleotides) under Chelonoidis abingdonii (Abingdon island giant tortoise). RNAcentral describes it as "TUC338 (ENSCABG00000003579.1)". The record is from RNAcentral. Lineage: Eukaryota; Metazoa; Chordata; Testudines; Testudinidae.
UAGACCCAAGAGACUAAAGUUGUGUCAUAGAACAAGAUAAAAAUGGGAAACAGACAUUCCAAUUUCCCCCACACUGUCUCACCAAUGUGCCUCAACCCAGGCCUGUGGGGACUUAUUCUAGAGAAAGAGAAAAGUUCAGUCUCUACCUUUGACUCCCUUUUGAUAGU